UCAUUAGAUGGCUGAAAGAUAAGUAAUGGUCUCUUAAACCAAUCUAUAGUAAUUAACGCCUACUUCUAAUGA
RNAcentral lists this transfer RNA (72 nucleotides) under Hippodamia convergens (convergent lady beetle). Its description in RNAcentral is "tRNA-Lys". The record is from RNAcentral. Lineage: Eukaryota; Metazoa; Arthropoda; Insecta; Coleoptera; Coccinellidae.